This 468-nucleotide ribosomal RNA is filed under the name uncultured bacterium. RNAcentral describes it as "partial 16S ribosomal RNA". It matches the Rfam family "Bacterial small subunit ribosomal RNA", at positions 28 to 507 of the family's 1533-position model. The record is from RNAcentral.
GACGAACGCUGGCGGCGUGCUUAACACAUGCAAGUCGAACGGAAAGGCCCUGCUUUUGUGGGGUGCUCGAGUGGCGAACGGGUGAGUAACACGUGAGUAACCUGCCCUUGACUUUGGGAUAACUUCAGGAAACUGGGGCUAAUACCGGAUAGGAGCUCCUGCUGCAUGGUGGGGGUUGGAAAGUUUCGGCGGUUGGGGAUGGACUCGCGGCUUAUCAGCUUGUUGGUGGGGUAGUGGCUUACCAAGGCUUUGACGGGUAGCCGGCCUGAGAGGGUGACCGGCCACAUUGGGACUGGGAUACGGCCCAGACUCCUACGGGAGGCAGCAGUGGGGAAUAUUGCACAAUGGGCGGAAGCCUGAUGCAGCAACGCCGCGUGCGGGAUGACGGCCUUCGGGUUGUAAACCGCUUUCGCCUGUGACGAAGCGUGAGUGACGGUAAUGGGUAAAGAAGAACCGGCUAACUACGUG